RNAcentral lists this ribosomal RNA (474 nucleotides) under uncultured bacterium. RNAcentral describes it as "bacterial SSU rRNA". It matches the Rfam family "Bacterial small subunit ribosomal RNA", at positions 1 to 525 of the family's 1533-position model. The record is from RNAcentral.
GGCGGUUUGAUCAUGGCUCAGAACGAACGCUGGCGGCAGGCCUCAAACAUGCAAGUCUAGGGGGUGUAGCAAUACAUCACCGGCGGACGGGUGCGUAACGCGUGGGAAUAUACCUAUUGGUUCGGAACAACUGAGGGAAACUUCAGCUAAUACCGAAUGUGUCCUAACGGAGAAAGAUUUAUCGCCAAUAGAUUAGCCCGCGUUCGAUUAGCUAGUUGGUGGGGUAAUGGCUCACCAAGGCGACGAUCGAUAGCUGUUCUGAGAGGAAGAUCAGCCACACUGGGACUGAGACACGGCCCAGACUCCUACGGGAGGCAGCAGUUGGGAAUCUUGGACAAUGGGGGAAACCCUGAUCCAGCCAUGCCGCGUGAGUGAUGAAGGCCUUCGGGUUGUAAAACUCUUUCGCGCACGACGAUAAUGACGGUAGUGCGAGAAGAAGCUCCGGCUAACUUCGUGCCAGCAGCCGCGGUAAUA